This 440-nucleotide ribosomal RNA is filed under the name uncultured bacterium. RNAcentral's name for it is "partial 16S ribosomal RNA". It matches the Rfam family "Bacterial small subunit ribosomal RNA", at positions 338 to 795 of the family's 1533-position model. The record is from RNAcentral.
CCUACGGGCGGCAGCAGUGGGGAAUAUUGCACAAUGGGGGAAACCCUGAUGCAGCGACGCCGCGUGAAGGAAGAAGUAUUUCGGUAUGUAAACUUCUAUCAGCAGGGAAGAAAAUGACGGUACCUGACUAAGAAUCCCCGGCUAACUACGUGCCAGCAGCCGCGGUAAUACGUAGGGGGCAAGCGUUAUCCGGAUUUACUGGGUGUAAAGGGAGCGUAGGCGGUUUAGCAAGUCAGAAGUGAAAGCCCGGGGCUCAACUCCGGGACUGCUUUUGAAACUGUUGAACUAGAGUGCAGGAGAGGUAAGUGGAAUUCCUGGUGUAGCGGUGAAAUGCGUAGAUAUUAGGAGGAACACCAGUGGCGAAGGCGGCUUACUGGACUGUAAAUGACGCUGAGGCUCGAAAGCGUGGGGAGCAAACAGGAUUAGAUACCCGAGUAGUC